Molecule: ribosomal RNA, 273 nt
Filed under: Triticum aestivum (bread wheat)
Lineage: Eukaryota; Viridiplantae; Streptophyta; Magnoliopsida; Poales; Poaceae
Description: partial small subunit ribosomal RNA
Source: RNAcentral
AUGAAGAAGGCACAAGAGAAGCUUGGAUCAAUGUUGGCGCGAAACCCUGGUUUGUCGCGUGAUUUCAAUGAAUGUGUUGACUUCAGCUUGACACCAGAGGAGUUUGAGACAGGAUGGACUGCUCUGCUGUUGAAGUAUGAGGGUAUGGUUGACACCCACUUUGAGAAUCUAUAUAACUACCGGGCAACGUGGGUUCCUUGUUACUUCAAGCACCAGUUCUUCCCUUUCUUGCAAUCAACCCAGCGCAGUGAGGGGGUUGAACACUGUCCUUAA